GGACUACUAGGGUUUCUAAUCCUGUUUGCUACCCACGCUUUCGCGCCUCAGCGUCAGUUGAUGCCCAGUGGACCGCCUUCGCCACGGGUAUUCCUCCCGAUAUCAACACAUUUCACCGUUACACCGGGAAUUCUAUCCACCUCUGCAUCACUCCAGCCCAUCAGUAUGCGAAAUAGUUUCCCGGUUGAGCCGGGAGAUUUAGCUUCACACUUAAUGGACCGCCUACGCGCUCUUUACGCCCAGUAAAUCCGGACAACGCUUGCACCCUACGUCUUACCGCGGCUGCUGGCAC
RNAcentral lists this ribosomal RNA (292 nucleotides) under uncultured bacterium. Its description in RNAcentral is "partial 16S ribosomal RNA". The record is from RNAcentral.